RNAcentral lists this ribosomal RNA (464 nucleotides) under uncultured Acidobacteriaceae bacterium. RNAcentral's name for it is "bacterial SSU rRNA". It matches the Rfam family "Bacterial small subunit ribosomal RNA", at positions 8 to 484 of the family's 1533-position model. Lineage: Bacteria; Pseudomonadati; Acidobacteriota; Terriglobia; Terriglobales; Acidobacteriaceae. The record is from RNAcentral.
AGAGUUUGAUCAUGGCUCAGAAUCAACGCUGGCGGCGUGCCUCAGACAUGCAAGUCGAACGAUUAAAGCUCUCUUCGGAGAGUGUAUAGAGUGGCGCACGGGUGAGUAACACGUAAGUAAUCUACCUUCGAGUGGGGAAUAACGUCCGGAAACGGACGCUAAUACCGCAUAAUGCAGCGGCAUCGUAAGAUGACAGUUGUUAAAGAUUUAUCGCUUGAAGAGGAGCUUGCGGCAGAUUAGCUAGUUGGUAAGGUAAUGGCUUACCAAGGCUACGAUCUGUAACCGGUCUUAGAGGACGGUCGGUCACACUGACACUGAAUAACGGGUCAGACUCCUACGGGAGGCAGCAGUCGGGAAUUUUGGGCAAUGGGCGAAAGCCUGACCCAGCAACGCCGCGUGAAGGAUGAAGUAUUUCGGUAUGUAAACUUCGAAAGAAUAGGAAGAAUAAAUGACGGUACUAUUAU